UACGAAGGGGGCUAGCGUUGCUCGGAAUUACUGGGCGUAAAGCGCACGUAGGCGGUCUUUUAAGUCAGACGUGAAAUCCCUCGGCUUAACCGGGGAACUGCGUCUGAUACUGGAUGGCUAGAGUUUGGGAGAGGGAUGCGGAAUUCCAGGUGUAGCGGUGAAAUGCGUAGAUAUCUGGAGGAACACCGGUGGCGAAGGCGGCAUCCUGGACCAACACUGACGCUGAGGAGCGAAAGCGUGGGGAGCAAACAGG
Molecule: ribosomal RNA, 253 nt
Filed under: uncultured bacterium
Lineage: Bacteria
Description: partial 16S ribosomal RNA
Rfam family: Bacterial small subunit ribosomal RNA
Source: RNAcentral